RNAcentral lists this ribosomal RNA (305 nucleotides) under uncultured bacterium. RNAcentral describes it as "bacterial SSU rRNA". It matches the Rfam family "Bacterial small subunit ribosomal RNA", at positions 338 to 641 of the family's 1533-position model. The record is from RNAcentral.
CCUACGGGGCGCAGCAGUGAGGAAUAUUGGUCAAUGGGCGCGAGCCUGAACCAGCCAAGUCGCGUGAGGGAAGACGGUCCUAUGGAUUGUAAACCUCUUUUGUCGGGGAGCAGAAGACGCCACGCGUGGCGUUCCGAGAGUACCCGAAGAAAAAGCAUCGGCUAACUCCGUGCCAGCAGCCGCGGUAAUACGGAGGAUGCGAGCGUUAUCCGGAUUUAUUGGGUUUAAAGGGUGCGCAGGCGGAUUUUUAAGUCAGCGGUCAAAUCGUGGGGCUCAACCCCAUCCACCCGUUGAAACUGGGGAUC